AUUGAACGCUGGCGGCAGGCCUAACACAUGCAAGUCGAGCGAGCGGCGGACGGGUGAGUAAUGUAUGGGGAUCUGCCCGAUAGAGGGGGAUAACUACUGGAAACGGUGGCUAAUACCGCAUACUAUCGGAUGAACCCAUAUGGGAUUAGCUAGUGGGUGGGGUAAAGGCUCACCAAGGCGACGAUCUCUAGCUGGUCUGAGAGGAUGACCAGCCACACUGGGACUGAGACACGGCCCAGACUCCUACGGGAGGCAGCAGUGGGGAAUAUUGCACAAUGGGCGCAAGCCUGAUGCAGCCAUGCCGCGUGUAUGAAGAAGGCCUUAGGGUUGUAAAGUACUUUCAGCGGGGAGGCGUUACCCGCAGAAUAAGCACCGGCUAACUCCGUGCCAGCAGCCGCGGUAAUUC
This 406-nucleotide ribosomal RNA is filed under the name uncultured bacterium. Its description in RNAcentral is "partial 16S ribosomal RNA". It matches the Rfam family "Bacterial small subunit ribosomal RNA", at positions 30 to 526 of the family's 1533-position model. The record is from RNAcentral.